This 460-nucleotide ribosomal RNA is filed under the name uncultured bacterium. Its description in RNAcentral is "partial 16S ribosomal RNA". It matches the Rfam family "Bacterial small subunit ribosomal RNA", at positions 338 to 795 of the family's 1533-position model. The record is from RNAcentral.
CCUACGGUUGGCAGCAGUGAGGAAUAUUGGUCAAUGGGCGGGAGCCUGAACCAGCCAAGUCGCGUGAGGGAAGACGGUCCUACGGAUUGUAAACCUCUUUUGCCGGGGAGCAACGGGGUCGUUGCGUGGGCCCAAUGAGAGUACCCGGAGAAAAAGCAUGGGCUAACUCCGUGCCAGCAGCCGCGGUAAUACGGGGGAUGCGGGCGUUAUCCGGAUUUAUUGGGUUAAAGGGGUGCGUAGGCGGGCUGUUAAGUCAGCGUUCAAAUGUCGGGGCUCAACCCCGGCCGGCCGUUGAAACUGGCGGCCUCGAGUGGGCGAGAAGUAUGCGGAAUGCGUGGUGUAGCGGUGAAAUGCAUAGAUAUCACGCAGAACUCCGAUUGCGAAGGCAGCAUACCGGCGCCCUACUGACGCUGAGGCACGAAAGCGUGGGUAUCGAACAGGAUUAGAUACCCGGGUAGUC